UACGGAGGGUGCGAGCGUUGUCCGGAAUCACUGGGCGUAAAGGGCGCGUAGGCGGCCCGCGCAAGCGUGCGGUGAAAGCCCGGGGCUCAACCCCGGGUCGGCCGUGCGGACUGCGGGGCUCGAGCACUGUAGGGGCAGAUGGAAUUCCUGGUGUAGCGGUGAAAUGCGCAGAUAUCAGGAGGAACACCGGUGGCGAAGGCGGGUCUCUGGGCCGAUACUGACGCUGAGGCGCGACAGCGUGGGGAGCAAACAGG
RNAcentral lists this ribosomal RNA (254 nucleotides) under uncultured bacterium. Its description in RNAcentral is "partial 16S ribosomal RNA". It matches the Rfam family "Bacterial small subunit ribosomal RNA", at positions 524 to 776 of the family's 1533-position model. The record is from RNAcentral.